GGAUGUGAGGGUGAUCUGGCUGUGACACCUGUCACCCCAUUGAUCGCCAGGGUUGAUUCGGCUGAUCUGGCUGGCUAGGCGGGUGUCCCCUUCCUCCCUCACUGCUCCAUGUGCGUCCCUCCUGAAGCUGCGCAGUCGGUUGAAGAGGACGAGCAUCCCUGAUAGAGGAGGACCAUUCUUAGGUCACGGGUAUACGAGUAGCUGCGCUCCCCUGCUAGAACCUCCAAACAAGCUCCCAAUUACUGAACCCCCUCUAAGCCUGAUGAAAUGAUACAUGAUCACAUCUCAAAGCGCUUGGCGCAUGGCAUGUGCUGAAACAUAUCAGCAAAAUAU
This 333-nucleotide small nuclear RNA is filed under the name Vulpes vulpes (red fox). RNAcentral's name for it is "7SK RNA (ENSVVUG00000007138.1)". It matches the Rfam family "7SK RNA". Rfam says of the family: 7SK was discovered as an abundant small nuclear RNA in the mid-70s but a possible function has only recently been suggested. Two independent studies have found that 7SK RNA binds the CDK9/cyclin T complex (known as elongation factor P-TEFb). The record is from RNAcentral. Lineage: Eukaryota; Metazoa; Chordata; Mammalia; Carnivora; Canidae.